CUCGAAGCUAAAAGGCCAGCUUGCGAUUCUGCUUGGAGGCUACUCAGACUCUCUACUGCCAUGAUGAGGCCACACACAAGUUGGAGGAGCAACACCUUACAUUCCGUCUGGAUGCUGCCUGGCCUACUGAGUUCCUCCAGCACCUUGUGUGUAUUACUUUGAUUUCCAGCAUCUGCAGGUUUUCUCUUGUUUGUGUAUUGAAAUAAAUGAUGUCAUGGCGACCAUCGAAACUGUAUUGAGUUACCAUUGACCUUAAGGGUGUAAAAAUGUGAUGUACCUUGAGUUUAAAGGGACUCCUCUUCCAAGAGUGUCUCCAGUAUGAUACCUGCUUGUUUUGCUGAAUAAAGACUUCUAU
Molecule: long non-coding RNA, 355 nt
Organism: Mobula hypostoma (lesser devil ray)
Lineage: Eukaryota; Metazoa; Chordata; Chondrichthyes; Myliobatiformes; Myliobatidae
Exons: 3
Source: RefSeq, a predicted model, not a curated record